This 119-nucleotide non-coding RNA is filed under the name Propithecus coquereli (Coquerel's sifaka). Lineage: Eukaryota; Metazoa; Chordata; Mammalia; Primates; Indriidae. The record is from RNAcentral.
GUGUUGUAUGAAAGGAGAGAAGGUUAGAAUUCCCCUUGACAAGAAUGGAAGAGGCCCUCAGGCCUGCACACACACAUAUGGUUAAGGUUUUACUUUGUGGCAUUUAACCAUGGUUUUUU